AUGUUGUCCUGCAGACCCAUUGUCUUGGCUACAAACUGCAGAGGCUCCUUGCCUGGCCACAUCAGUUGCCUCCGAUCCUCGCUGCAUUGCUCAAGUAGUUUAAAAAGAGGAAACUGGAGAAGGAAAUCGUGCCCUAAAAGUUGCCAUGGAGCGAAACAGCCAUCACAACACUUCAGCUAAUUUCCCUCUCUAGUCAUGUGGAUCUGGGGAAAGUUAAAUAGGGUGCCUCAGCUUUCCACCCUGCUCCUGCCUCUCUCACCACCUCCGUGGUCAAGAAGAAGACUAUCAAGUUAGGAAGAAAGCCAGUUCCUCUAGAACCCAGCCACUGAAGACCUCCUCCAAGUGCCAGUGCCUCUUGCUUCUUCAGAAGGGGUCAAGCCCAGACACAAGCUUCUACCUGGUGGCUGCUUUCUCUUGUUCCUCCUGAUCAGUUAAUUGCCAUCAUUGCUUCCCUUUGAUAAUUCUCUCCCACCAGUCACCCUUCCUUGCUUAAUCUCCCACUCCCAUCUGUUCUGCAUCCUUCCUACAUCAUACUUAUUUACUCCUUUCUGCCAUCAAAAAAAAGCCUCAGCAAACUAACCAGACCUGAGACACAGCCAUAAUGAAACAGAAUGUUAAAUUUACAUCACCUCACUCCUGUGUUUUCCUCUCACAUACCCUUUUUGUUUUUUUUUUUUUUUUCCUAGUGAAUUUUCCUUCGGCUUGGGACUCCUUCUUGUAACUUUGCACAACCACUCUUGCAGAGAGGGACUUCUUUAUUUUGCUGUGCUGCAAAAUCUGUCUUCUGGCUUAAUGUGAGCCAUAAAGAAGAACAAGGUGGUUCUCCUCCACUUCAGGGAGUGCCUGUUGAGGCUGAAGCAGCCUUUAUUUGGCUGCAGAAGCUAGUUUUCCAGCUUGUCUGCAGACCCAACACUUCAUCAAGUCUUCAUCACUCAGGGACCGAAAAGCUUAAAUUUUGAAGCAUCAAGGGCCAGGCUCUAAGAAACAAGUUAUUGCUCUUAUCUUGGACAAAGCCAAGUCCCUCUCCCACAUUGAAGCAUCAAGGGCCAGGCUCUAAGAAACGAGUUAUUGCUCUUAUCUUGGACAAAGUCAAGUCCUUCUCCCACACUUGAAAGAAAAAAAAAAAGGAAAAAAAAAAAGAAAAUAAAAGACGAGUGAAGUUCA
Molecule: long non-coding RNA, 1164 nt
Filed under: Calidris pugnax (ruff)
Lineage: Eukaryota; Metazoa; Chordata; Aves; Charadriiformes; Scolopacidae
Description: lncRNA (ENSCPUG00000014717.1)
Source: RNAcentral